This is a long non-coding RNA of Cynoglossus semilaevis (tongue sole), 499 nucleotides long. RefSeq lists it as uncharacterized. Lineage: Eukaryota; Metazoa; Chordata; Actinopteri; Pleuronectiformes; Cynoglossidae. The record is from RefSeq and is a predicted model, not a curated record. The transcript has 2 exons.
UUCGUUUUAGUAAACCUUUGGUGUUCUUAGUAAAUCUGGGUUUUCACAACUUUAGGUGGGGCUUUGUCAUCGUCACACCGCAAGGCCCCUAGGGCUAGAAGUUCCCCAAAAGACCAUAUGUCAGUGACGCAAUGACUGAACACCUUACACACUGCAAUGAUCACUCUUGCCAGGGUGUGUCUAGAAACGCCCCUGCUCUGCCUUUUUUGUAGAAUUAUUUUUUCAGAAUAAAUUAAUAAAUAAGUGAAGGAUCCAAUAAUAGAUCUUAUUAGAUUAAUUAUUUUUCUUCUUAGUUUAUAUUAGUCGUGGUGGUGGCAGUGAUUGUUAUCAUGGAAAUGCAAGCAUCCAGUGAGGAACGACAGAUUACCUGCACAUGGUGGCUCCCAGUUUCCAGUCGUAACCCUGGAGCUGGUAGGCAAUCUGAAAGGGCAGUGCAGCGCCGACAGCCAAGUCGGUGAUGGUCAGAUGAAUCAUGAAGAUGAUAGAGGGAGUCUUGGGU